CCUACGAGUGGCAGCAGUGAGGAAUAUUGGUCAAUGGGCGUAAGCCUGAACCAGCCAAGUCGCGUGAGGGAUGAAGGUUCUAUGGAUCGUAAACCUCUUUUAUAAGGGCAUAAAGUGUGGGACGUGUCCUAUUUUGUAUGUACCUUAUGAAUUAGGAUCGGCUAACUCCGUGCCAGCAGCCGCGGUAAUACGGAGGAUCCGAGCGUUAUCCGGAUUUAUUGGGUUUAAAGGGUGCGUAGGCGGCCUUUUAAGUCAGCGGUGAAAGGCUGUGGCGAAACCAUAGCAGUGCCGUUGAAACUGGGUGGCUUGAGUAUUUUUGAGGCAGGCGGAAUGCGUGGUGUAGCGGUGAAAUGCUUAGAUAUCACGCAGAACCCCGAUUGCGAAGGCAGCCUGCCAAGCCAUGACUGACGCUGAUGCACGAAAGCGUGGGGAUCAAACAGGAUUAGAUACCCUGGUAGUC
RNAcentral lists this ribosomal RNA (460 nucleotides) under uncultured bacterium. RNAcentral's name for it is "partial 16S ribosomal RNA". It matches the Rfam family "Bacterial small subunit ribosomal RNA", at positions 338 to 795 of the family's 1533-position model. The record is from RNAcentral.